GGGGGAGUGGCGGAAUAGGUAGACGCGCUGGGUUCAAAUUUCAGUGAUGGAAACAUCGUGAGGGUUCGACUCCCUCCUUCCCCACCA
Molecule: transfer RNA, 87 nt
Filed under: marine sediment metagenome
Description: tRNA-Leu
Rfam family: tRNA
About the family: Transfer RNA (tRNA) molecules are approximately 80 nucleotides in length. Their secondary structure includes four short double-helical elements and three loops (D, anti-codon, and T loops).
Source: RNAcentral